This 253-nucleotide ribosomal RNA is filed under the name uncultured bacterium. RNAcentral's name for it is "partial 16S ribosomal RNA". It matches the Rfam family "Bacterial small subunit ribosomal RNA", at positions 524 to 776 of the family's 1533-position model. The record is from RNAcentral.
UACGUAGGUGGCAAGCGUUAUCCGGAAUUAUUGGGCGUAAAGCGCGCGCAGGCGGUUUCUUAAGUCUGAUGUGGAAGCCCACGGCUCAACCGUGGAGGGUCAUUGGAAACUGGGGAACUUGAGUGCAGAAGAGAAAAGCGGAAUUCCACGUGUAGCGGUGAAAUGCGUAGAGAUGUGGAGGAACACCAGUGGCGAAGGCGGCUUUUUGGUCUGUAACUGACGCUGAGGCGCGAAAGCGUGGGGAGCAAACAGG